This is a ribosomal RNA of Microcebus murinus (gray mouse lemur), 118 nucleotides long. The record is from Ensembl. NCBI's taxonomy places the organism in Eukaryota, Metazoa, Chordata, Mammalia, Primates, Cheirogaleidae.
ACCUAUGGCCAUACCACCCUGAAUGUGCCCAUCUCAUCUGAUCUGGGAAGCUAAGCAGGGUUGGUCCUGGUUAGUACUUGGAAGGGAGACUGCCUGGGAAUACCAAUUGCUGUAGGCU